AAAACGACUCUCGGCAACGGAUAUCUCGGCUCUCGCAUCGAUGAAGAACGUAGCAAACUGCGAUACUUGGUGUGAAUUGCAGAAUCCCGUGAAUCAUCGAGUCUUUGAACGCAAGUUGCGCCCGAAGCCGCCAGGCCGAGGGCACGUCUGCCUGGGCGUCACGA
This 164-nucleotide ribosomal RNA is filed under the name Exacum sutaepense. Its description in RNAcentral is "5.8S ribosomal RNA". It matches the Rfam family "5.8S ribosomal RNA". From Rfam's summary of the family: 5.8S ribosomal RNA (5.8S rRNA) is a component of the large subunit of the eukaryotic ribosome. It is transcribed by RNA polymerase I as part of the 45S precursor that also contains 18S and 28S rRNA. Functionally, it is thought that 5.8S rRNA may be involved in ribosome translocation. The record is from RNAcentral. Lineage: Eukaryota; Viridiplantae; Streptophyta; Magnoliopsida; Gentianales; Gentianaceae.